CUCGCGACCACGUUACCAAUGAGACCAUCGCUCUCAAGAAGAUUUGCCUUGAGCAGGAGGAUGAAGGCGUUCCUAGCACUGCAUUUCGCGAGAUUUCUCUCCUCAAGGAAAUGCAGCACAGGAAUACUGUUAGGUCCAUCCUUAUGUUGCCACUGGAAAUAAGAACUCUAAAUUUGGCAUUAGAAAUGAGAUGCUGCAGUGGUUUUUAGAUGCUAUAAAGGAGCAUUCUAAUGAGGUUAAGCUUGUAGGUGUCCACUGCCAUCUUGGGUCAACAAUUACCAAGGUAUAAAAUUAUUGGUUCGUAUACUGGUGUUAAGAUUUGUAGCUGGACCAAGUCACAGCUUCGAGGACGGUGUGGUUGCUACAAGCAUUCAUUCUAUGAUAAAAUGCAAGACACGGUAAUCAGCUGUCUUACCUCAUAUACGGUAUUAGAUUAAGUUAGACUAGGCAACUUCUUUUCUUGCAUAAAUGAUAACAAAAGAAAUGUGCUUAGUGUAUGUUUAUUUGCCAGAUUCUAGAAUCCAUCAUCGGUUAGCAUUCGUUAAGAGCUCAUGUCUCACACUUUAGUUGAAUUCACUUAACAGGAACAAGAUUUUAUUGUUAGCAUUUUCCAUUUUAAAUUAACUUUUUAAUUAACUAAAUUUCUUGAUGAAAUUUAAAGGCGAAAAUAAUUUACAAAAUUAUAUAAGAAACCUAAAUUGUUUAUUUUGGGAAUCUCCUUAUAUCACAACAAUAAAGUUUAAUUAUUCCAUGGAUUCUAAUAAUUUUAAAAUUGAAGGAAGUGCAAAUUUUAAUUUUGAAAAUUCGGCAUUCAUUAUAUAGCUUGCACUUUUUUAGAAUUGAAGGUGAGAAAGAGAGUAUCUUUUUAAGUAUUAUUCUUUUUCUUAGAAGUUUUUUUUUCUUUUCUUUUUCGUGCUUGCAUAAUAAAUAUCAUUUGUUUGCUUGAACUGAAUCUUGGGUUUGUUUGCUUGCUAUAAGUUUUAUUCCUGAACUGAAUCUUAUUAGUAUUUAUUUAAGUCUAUUUUUUUUAUUCUAGGCUUUUAAUAUUUGUCUUCUCGCUGUUGUUGCCGUUGCCACCUCUCUUGGUUUGCUUCUGCUGCGGUACUGCUGUUGCUGUUAGGGCACAGAUUUAGUUUCUGGGUGCUAGGUGACUAUUUUUAUUUUAGUUUAAUUUUAAAAACUCCCACAGCUUCUAUAGAGGCAACUAAGCUAAUGAAUGUUAAGUUGUUAUUACUUAUUUGUUCUGUAAUAGAACCUCUAAAAUAAAAUCACAAGUGGAAUUUGUUUUACUAUAAUUUGUUCUUGUAGUGUACUGUUGACUGAAUUUGUACUGCUGAUUGCUUAACUAUAAUUUUUUCUAUGCUUUAUCUUCUCAUCUAUUUGUUGGCCUUGGCAAGUU
Arachis duranensis is the source of this 1399-nucleotide long non-coding RNA. RefSeq lists it as uncharacterized. NCBI's taxonomy places the organism in Eukaryota, Viridiplantae, Streptophyta, Magnoliopsida, Fabales, Fabaceae. The transcript has 3 exons. The record is from RefSeq and is a predicted model, not a curated record.